CAGCCCGCGGGAAUACGUAGGUGGCAAGCGUUGUCCGGAAUUAUUGGGCGUAAAGGGCUCGCAGGCGGUUUCUUAAGUCUGAUGUGAAAGCCCCCGGCUCAACCGGGGAGGGUCAUUGGAAACUGGGAAACUUGAGUGUAGAAGAGGAGAGUGGAAUUCCACGUAUAGCGGUGAAAUGCGUAGAGAUGUGGAGGAACACCAGUGGCGAAGGCGACUCUCUGGUCUGUAACUGACGCUGAGGAGCGAAAGCGUGGGGAGCGAACAGGAUUAGAUACCCCCGUAGUCCCUGUCUCUUAUACAU
This 301-nucleotide ribosomal RNA is filed under the name uncultured bacterium. Its description in RNAcentral is "partial 16S ribosomal RNA". It matches the Rfam family "Bacterial small subunit ribosomal RNA", at positions 509 to 810 of the family's 1533-position model. The record is from RNAcentral.